UACGGAGGAUGCAAGCGUUAUCCGGAUUUAUUGGGUUUAAAGGGUGCGUAGGCGGAAUAGUAAGUCAGUGGUGAAAUCUUGCAGCUUAACUGUAAAAUUGCCGUUGAUACUGCUUUUCUUGAGUAUAGUUGAGGUAGGCGGAAUGUGUAAUGUAGCGGUGAAAUGCUUAGAUAUUACACAGAACACCGAUUGCGUAGGCAGCUUACUAAGCUAUAACUGACGCUGAGGCACGAAAGCGUGGGGAUCGAACAGG
RNAcentral lists this ribosomal RNA (253 nucleotides) under uncultured bacterium. Its description in RNAcentral is "partial 16S ribosomal RNA". It matches the Rfam family "Bacterial small subunit ribosomal RNA", at positions 524 to 776 of the family's 1533-position model. The record is from RNAcentral.